UAGGGAAUCUUCGGCAAUGGACGAAAGUCUGACCGAGCAACGCCGCGUGAGUGAAGAAGGUUCUCGGAUCGUAAAACUCUGUUGGUAGAGAAGAACGUUGGUGAGAGUGGAAAGCUCAUCAAGUGACGGUAACUACCCAGAAAGGGACGGCUAACUACGUGCCAC
RNAcentral lists this ribosomal RNA (165 nucleotides) under uncultured bacterium. RNAcentral's name for it is "partial 16S rRNA". It matches the Rfam family "Bacterial small subunit ribosomal RNA", at positions 355 to 511 of the family's 1533-position model. The record is from RNAcentral.